This is a ribosomal RNA of 435 nucleotides. It matches the Rfam family "Bacterial small subunit ribosomal RNA", at positions 341 to 792 of the family's 1533-position model.
ACGGAAGGCAGCAGUGGGGAAUAUUGCGCAAUGGGGGCAACCCUGACGCAGCAACGCCGCGUGAAGGAUGAAGGUUUUCGGAUUGUAAACUUCUUUUAUUAAGGACGAACAAUGACGGUACUUAAUGAAUAAGCUCCGGCUAACUACGUGCCAGCAGCCGCGGUAAUACGUAGGGAGCAAGCGUUAUCCGGAUUUACUGGGUGUAAAGGGUGCGUAGGCGGCUUGGUAAGUCAGAUGUGAAAUGUAUGGGCUCAACUCAUGCACUGCAUUUGAAACUAUCGAGCUUGAGUGAAGUAGAGGUAGGCGGAAUUCCCUGUGUAGCGGUGAAAUGCGUAGAGAUAGGGAGGAACACCAGUGGCGAAGGCGGCCUACUGGGCUUUAACUGACGCUGAGGCACGAAAGCGUGGGUAGCAAACAGGAUUAGAUACCCUGGUA